GUGCUUGCUGUGGCAGCACAUAUACUAAAAUUGGAAGAUUAGCAUGGCCCCUACACAAAGAUGACACACAAAUUCGCAAUGCAUUCAAUAUUUUU
RNAcentral lists this small nuclear RNA (95 nucleotides) under Castor canadensis (American beaver). Lineage: Eukaryota; Metazoa; Chordata; Mammalia; Rodentia; Castoridae. The record is from RNAcentral.